Molecule: ribosomal RNA, 505 nt
Filed under: bacterium enrichment culture clone ALO1_GLFRUDD03FUUUY
Lineage: Bacteria
Description: bacterial SSU rRNA
Rfam family: Bacterial small subunit ribosomal RNA
Source: RNAcentral
GAGUUUGAUCGUGGCUCAGAUUGAACGCUGGCGGCAUGCCUUACACAUGCAAGUCGAACGGCAGCACGGGAGCUUGCUCCUGGUGGCGAGUGGCGAACGGGUGAGUAAUGCAUCGGAACGUAUCCUGGAGUGGGGGAUAACGUAGCGAAAGUUACGCUAAUACCGCAUAUUCUGUGAGCAGGAAAGCGGGGGACCUUCGGGCCUCGCGCUCUUGGAGCGGCCGAUGUCGGAUUAGCUAGUUGGUGAGGUAAAGGCUCACCAAGGCGACGAUCCGUAGCAGGUCUGAGAGGAUGAUCUGCCACACUGGAACUGAGACACGGUCCAGACUCCUACGGGAGGCAGCAGUGGGGAAUAUUGGACAAUGGGCGAAAGCCUGAUCCAGCCAUGCCGCGUGUGUGAAGAAGGUCUUCGGAUUGUAAAGCACUUUAAGUUGGGAGGAAGGGCAGUAAGUUAAUACCUUGCUGUUUUGACGUUACCGACAGAAUAAGCACCGGCUAACUCUGUG